This is a long non-coding RNA of Helianthus annuus (common sunflower), 363 nucleotides long. RefSeq lists it as uncharacterized. Lineage: Eukaryota; Viridiplantae; Streptophyta; Magnoliopsida; Asterales; Asteraceae. The record is from RefSeq and is a predicted model, not a curated record. The transcript has 2 exons.
UAACUAAUAAGAGAAUUGCACUGAACAGUGUUUCCACUACGACUGCAACGAGCCAAAUUUCAUUGGAAAACAGCAACAAGAAACUGGUCUAGCGAUGACAGUUAAUCAAGAGGGAGUAUUGGCUACUGCCUACUGGAGGUGACAAUGGGAGUUUGUUGUUUUGGGACUCGAAAAGCGAUCAUUGUUUCCAACAAUCCCGAACAAUCGUUCAACCCGGUUCGCAUCUUUUUGACCUUGAAACACCAAUCAUCUACCUCUGUGCAUGUAUUUAAAGUAGGGGAGUUCAGUUUUUGAAUCAUACUCGAAAAAACCAAAAUUCGAGUUGAACUGAAUUCGAAUUCGGCUUUUGAGUUUUCAGACCGU